Molecule: ribosomal RNA, 352 nt
Filed under: uncultured bacterium
Lineage: Bacteria
Description: bacterial SSU rRNA
Rfam family: Bacterial small subunit ribosomal RNA
Source: RNAcentral
GGUGGUGCAUGGUUGUCGUCAGCUCGUGUCGUGAGAUGUUGGGUUAAGUCCCGCAACGAGCGCAACCCUUAUUCUUAGUUGCCAUCAUUUAGUUGGGCACUCUAAGGAGACUGCCGGUGACAAACCGGAGGAAGGUGGGGAUGACGUCAAAUCAUCAUGCCCCUUAUGACCUGGGCUACACACGUGCUACAAUGGACGAUACAAAGAGUCGCAAACUCGCGAGAGUAAGCUAAUCUCAUAAAAUCGUUCUCAGUUCGGAUUGUAGGCUGCAACUCGCCUGCAUGAAGCCGGAAUCGCUAGUAAUCGCGGAUCAGCAUGCCGCGGUGAGUACGUUCCCGGGUCUUGUACACAC